UCAUUCCCGGGAUGAUUUGAUAUAUCAGAUUCUGCGAUAGAUGUACUGUACAUACAGUGUUUAUAGUUGGGAUCAUCUCGAACAAAAUACUCUCAAGUUGCAGUGUUGAACAGAAGCCUCGAACAUGCUUAAAUAAAUGAAUAAAAUUUAGUUUGGUUCCAAGGGUCAAGAGCACCGCGUACGAGCUUCCCAAACCGCCAACUUCAACCCACCCGACACAAAACAAUUCCCCUACCUCAUUGCAAUGCGUCCACGGUGCUCGUAUCGCACCAUAGACGAGCUAUGGACGCAUUCUUGUGGUGGAAUACAGCCAUUGGCCUGGUCUAGACGAUUAAUCACAGCUCACGCCCCUCCAUUUUGCUUUCGCCGUUUCACCUCCAAUCCGAGCACACAUCACAAAAACAUUGCAGUAAUAGGGGCCGGUGUUACUGGCCUCUCAACUGCAUUUCGUCUCUCCCAAGACCAAGAUGCGCGCGUUACGCUCUACGAGAAGGCCCCGAAACUUGGCGGUUGGUUGCAAUCGGAAAUAAUCAAUGUCGACGGCGGGCAAGUGCUGUUUGAAUACGGACCGAGAACCCUACGGGCGGGAUUGGGAGGUAGCUUGUCCACGCUGGAACUGUUAUUCGAUCUAGGCCUCAAAGAUGAUAUUCUGCCAACCGAGACAGAUUCCCCGGCUGCACGUAACCGAUAUAUUUACUAUCCAGACCAUCUUGUGCGUUUGCCAGGACCAUAUCCCGGUGCUGGCGUGUUAGGGAACAUUCUCAUGAAUGUCAUGCAACUAAUUUCAGAGCCCCUACUCUGGAAACUUGCUCUGGAAGUGAUUCUCGAGCCUAGAAGGCCGGUCCGUGACCGAUCGAUAUCUGACGAGUCCAUCGGCGAUUUUAUGAAGCGUCGUUUUGGUCCGAAUGUGGCAGAUGUUGUUGCUUCCGCAUUUUUCCACGGGAUUUAUGCUGGUGAUCUGUACAAACUCAGCGCGCGGUCGAUUUUGCGCAUUGCGUGGGACGAGUUCGAGCUCUCUGAACGAGGCUUUGCGACGGAGUUGAUGGACCAAUUCAAUCAACAGAAAAUCCUUAUGCCGUAUGAUAUUGCCAUGGCUCGUCGGUUGGUUGAGAAGGAGAAAUAUAAAGAGAUACGCCGGUUUGCGACGGGUAAUAACGUUUUAACUCUCCGGCGGGGCAUGGGCCAGCUCGCUACAGCAUUAGAGUCGUCGCUAAGAGGUGCAUCUAAUGUGGAAAUCAAGACUGGUGCUGAUAUUAAAUCCAUCUCCAAGGGGCAAGAUUCAGCGUCUAUGACAGUUAGCCUUGACGAUGGCACCUCUUCCAACUAUGACUACGUAAUAUCUACGACGUCUUCCACAGCUCUCGCCCAGCAACUCCUCGCCUCAGAAGCAGACCCAGCCCCAACAUCCGUAACUGACCUCCUUAAUGAGAAUGACUACGCCGUCACCGUCAUGGUCGUCAAUCUCUACUACAAAAAUCCAAAUCUAAUCCCACACCGCGGUUUCGGUUACCUAAUUCCCCGCUCUGUCCCCAUUGAUCUCAAUCCCGAGCGCGCCCUCGGCGUCAUCUUUGCCUCAGAUAGUAGCGCCGGCCAGGACACAGCUGAGGGUACCAAACUUACCGUAAUCCUGGGCGGACACUGGUGGGAUGACUGGCUCCUCUCAGACCUGCCGGAUGAGGAAAACGCAAUCGCCAUGGCCAAAUCGGUGCUCGCGCGACAUCUGCGCAUUGCUGAUGAGCCUGUCGUUGCCAGAGCGCGGCUGCAACGGGAUGCGAUUCCGCAGCCGAUAGUUGGGCAGGUGACGCAGAUGGAACGGCUCCAUGAUGCCCUGGAGCGCCGGUUUGAGGGGAGAUUGAAGGUUGCUGGGGCAUGGUAUACGGGGGUUGGGGUCAAUGACUCGAUACGGGCUGGGAGGAUUGUGGCAGCGGCGACACUGGAGGGGCAAGAGGGCGUUACG
RNAcentral lists this small RNA (1957 nucleotides) under Histoplasma ohiense. RNAcentral's name for it is "hypothetical lncRNA". The record is from RNAcentral. Lineage: Eukaryota; Fungi; Ascomycota; Eurotiomycetes; Onygenales; Ajellomycetaceae.